RNAcentral lists this ribosomal RNA (1299 nucleotides) under Triticum aestivum (bread wheat). RNAcentral describes it as "partial small subunit ribosomal RNA". The record is from RNAcentral. Lineage: Eukaryota; Viridiplantae; Streptophyta; Magnoliopsida; Poales; Poaceae.
AUGCCGCCGUCCCCCGCCGCGUCCGCCCCGGCGAGCCGCCACCUGCGACUCUGGUGGCGCCGCCGCGGCCGGGCCGGCGCCGUCGCGGCCACCUUCGCCGCGGCACUCCUCGCCGCGGCCCUCCUCCUCUCGCUCUCCUACUUCGCCUCCCUGCCCCUCGCGCCCGCCUCCUCCUCCGCCCUCGUCGGCCUCACCCUCCUCCGCCGCGCCGAGGAGAAGGGCGCGCUGUGCUUGGAUGGGAGCGCGCCGGGGUACCAUCUGCAGCGAGGGUCAGGGAGUGGCUCUCAGAGCUGGCUCAUCCACUUGGAGGGUGGAGGCUGGUGCCGAAAUUUGAAAUCAUGCGCUUCACGCCAGAAAUCGAUGUUGGGUUCUUCCCAUUACAUGGAACAUCAGGUUGAGUUUGCUGGGAUGUUGAGCGAUGAUGAAGAUCAGAAUCCAGAUUUUCACAACUGGAAUAAAGUGAAGAUAAGGUAUUGUGAUGGAGCAUCAUUUUCUGGGAACGUUAAAGACGAGUUGCAGAACGGCACAAAAUUCUUUUUCAGAGGCCAGCGUAUCUGGGAAGCAGUUAUGGAUGAACUUCUAAUGAAGGGGCUCAGACAUGCUAAACAGGCUUUUCUAACAGGAUGCUCUGCUGGUGGGUUAGCCACUUACAUUCACUGUGAUGGUUUUCGGGCACUGCUGCCAAAAGAUUCUAGGGUUAAGUGUCUUGCGGAUGGUGGUUUUUUCCUUGAUGUAGAAGACAUUUCCAAGCAAAGGACCUUGCGGGCUUUCUACAGUGACGUUGUCCGCCUUCAGGAUCUUAAGAGGAAGUUUUUGCACUGCAGUUCAAGCAUGGAUCCAGGCCAGUGCUUCUUUCCUCGUGAGGUUGUUAAAGACAUCAGAACACCAGUAUUUAUUCUUAAUCCAGCAUAUGAUGCCUGGCAGGUACAACAUGUGUUGGCACCAGAAGCAUCAGAUCCCCAACAUUCAUGGCAAGACUGUAGAUUGGAUAUUAGCAAGUGCAGUCCUGACCAACUUGAAAUACUCCAAGGUUUUAGGGAAGAACUGCAUGACGCGAUGAGAGAAAUCAAGCAGAAAAAGGACUGGGGUAUUUUCAUUGACUCCUGCUUUAUACACUGUCAGACGUUGAACUCUUUGACUUGGCACUCUCCAUCUUCUCCUAGAGUCAACAACAAGACCAUGGCAGAAGCAGUUGGAGACUGGUUCUUUGACAGGAGAGAGGUGAAGGAACUAGAUUGCGAAUAUCCGUGCAACCCAACGUGCCACAACUUGGUUUUUUCCAAGCCCUUCAAGGGAUAA